UUGCGCGUGGCAGUGCAGAGGAACGUCGGCGGGUGAAUUCAGAUUGAGCCAUUGGAAAGAUGAUACCCAAAAGUAUUAUUUUCGGACAUACAGACUACGUUGUAGUCAACAAAAAAUGGAUUGCAACUUGCAAAACAUGCAGGAAGAAAAUGACAGAUGGAGGCGCAACAACUUCCAACUUUAUUCGACAUUUGAAGCUGCACAAAGAACGAUUUGAACAAUACCAGACGAACAAAAUUGUCACAAGUGAACCACAACAGUCUCCAAUCUAACAGUUCAUGGAGACCCGUGUAGGGAAGUACAGCAUGAAUCAUCCACAGCAGAAAGCUAUCAACAAUGCAAUACUGUACGACCUGGUUAUCGAUUGCAACUUACCUCUGUCUAUUGUGGAAAACAAGAGUUUUGGUCACUUUCUGUCAGUGGUUGACAGUAAGUACAGCCCAGUGUGUCGUAGAACAUUGACAUCAAAAGUAGAGAACCUCGCUACAGAGAGACGUUCAAAACUCUAAACUCAGUUGAGCAACACAGACCAUGUUUCAGUCACAGUGGACAUUUGGUCUGACCGAAAGAUGUGGGGGUUCCUUGGUGUCACUGUGCGGAGAAAGAUGGAGAGAGGAUACAACUCAAGUCCAAUCUCUUGGCCUGUGACCGCUUCAAAGGAAUCUGUGAGCAAUUUGAGGCCAUAUGUGGUGAGUACAGCAUUAAAGAUAAAUUGGACCAUAUCAUUAGUGACAAUGCUGCCAACAUGAGAAAAACAUUCACGGUGUGCUUCCCCAUUGAACAAGAAGAUGAAGUACAUGACGAAGAUCACCUUGAUGACCCAGAGCUCUGGAAUGACCUAACCCUGGAAGACCAGCAAACAGUGGAUGCUGCUAUUGCAAAAGCAGUGCUUGCAGUGUUUUGCCCACAUUCUCCAGCUGGUGGUGGGAGAUGGCUUGAAAGAAACAACAGGGAUGACUCCUUCUCUUUCAAAGUUAUCAAAAAUCAGCUCACUGCUGCAUACAAGCACAACAUUCAAAGAGGUGUUUGGGGCUGAAUUUGAGGAAAGAGGCAUCCCUGCUGCUGUCAACACAACAUGGAACUCCACACUGAGACAAGGCGGUUAUCCCAUGUGACCAUCGAAAGCUCAGUCAUGUUCUAGAAAAGGCUGGGCACAAGGAGUUGUUGUUCACAGUACGGGAGUAGAAUAAGUUGAAGGAGUUGGUGGACCUCCUGAAGCCAUUUGGAGAAGCAACAGAUAUGACACAGGGGGAGAAGAUAGUCACAAUCAGUUCUGUUGUUCCCUCGGUCCUGUCCCUGAAUCACCACCUGGAGCAGCGGAAGCCUCAAGUCCAUUUCCUGAGACUUCUGAUGCCUGGUCAGAAGUCUCCAGGCAUCCCAGAACAAAAGAUUUCUUGGAAUCUUCUUCAAUGUGAAAAUGGCCAGGACACAAGAUGGAAUCACUGCCCCCUUUUCAGAUCCAGUCUACCUCAAAGCAGCUGCCUUGGAUCCGGAUUUUUCUCUGAUGUGGACGGAGCACCAUGUGCUGGUCAAGGAGGAGGUGGCACAAAGAGUGAAAGAGCAAGAUGCUUGAGGGACUGAGCAAGCUGUGCCUCUUGUUGAUGAGGAAGAGCAAGAGGACCAUAGUCUUGGACAAGAAGAAGGGCUGUUUGCGGCAUACUGUAAGAA
Long non-coding RNA from Salvelinus sp. IW2-2015, 1668 nucleotides. RefSeq lists it as uncharacterized. NCBI's taxonomy places the organism in Eukaryota, Metazoa, Chordata, Actinopteri, Salmoniformes, Salmonidae. The record is from RefSeq and is a predicted model, not a curated record.